CGGCCUCGCCAGGCCCAGCCUCCUGCCUCCCGAAGGCCUGCGCAGGCCCAGCCUCUGCCUCCCAGCGGACUCUCCACGCCCAGCUCUGGCCUGACUGCGGCCUCCCCAGGCCAGAGCUCCUCCUGCCUUUCGGCAGCUCCGCCGGGCCCCGCUCCUGCCUCCCAGUGGCC
Long non-coding RNA from Cercocebus atys (sooty mangabey), 170 nucleotides. RefSeq lists it as uncharacterized. Lineage: Eukaryota; Metazoa; Chordata; Mammalia; Primates; Cercopithecidae. The record is from RefSeq and is a predicted model, not a curated record. The transcript is spliced from 3 exons.